AGUGAACGCUGGCGGUAGGCCUAACACAUGCAAGUCGAACGGCAGCACAGUAAGAGCUUGCUCUUACGGGUGGCGAGUGGCGGACGAGUGAGGAAUACAUCGGAAUCUACUUUUUUGUGGGGGAUAACGUAGGGAAACUUACGCUAAUACCGCAUACGACCUACGGGUGAAAGCAGGGGAUCUUCGGACCUUGCGCGAUUGAAUGAGCCGAUGUCGGAUUAGCUAGUUGGGGGGGUAAAGGCCCACCAAGGCGACGAUCCGUAGCUGGUCUGAGAGGAUGAUCAGCCACACUGGAACUGAGACACGGUCCAGACUCCUACGGGAGGCAGCAGUGGGGAAUAUUGGACAAUGGGCGCAAGCCUGAUCCAGCCAUACCGCGUGGGUGAAGAAGGCCUUCGGGUUGUAAAGCCCUUUUGUUGGGAAAGAAAAGCAGCAGGUUAAUACCCCGCUGUUCUGACGGUACCCAAAGAAUAAGCACCGGCUAACUUCGUG
This 492-nucleotide ribosomal RNA is filed under the name uncultured bacterium. RNAcentral's name for it is "partial 16S ribosomal RNA". It matches the Rfam family "Bacterial small subunit ribosomal RNA", at positions 29 to 507 of the family's 1533-position model. The record is from RNAcentral.